Long non-coding RNA from Xiphophorus couchianus (Monterrey platyfish), 1043 nucleotides. RefSeq lists it as uncharacterized. The transcript has 3 exons. Lineage: Eukaryota; Metazoa; Chordata; Actinopteri; Cyprinodontiformes; Poeciliidae. The record is from RefSeq and is a predicted model, not a curated record.
GCCGAGUCGUGAGCCUUCUCCGUGUCUAGGAACUCUGAUUGUGGCUAGCAGACGGGCUCGGUGCCCCCCAUUCCCCCUCCAGGACGCGGUGUGUGCCGCUGCGGGUCCGGCUCGGUCUGCCACGCUGCUGCGCUGUCAGAGUAUCUUGAGGAACCAGUGGGUGCUAACCUUGCGGAGUAAUUCACGGAUCUUCUCGGCAUCCUUUGCUGCGUAGAUGUGCCAGAGAGCUCCGGGUUUCUCUUUCCCCUCGUGUACCCGUCUCUUUGUCAUGUCGUCCACAUCGCCCUCCUCGAUGGUGGUCAUGACCUCUGAAGAACCAAAGAGAGGAAACAAGACAGAGACAUAUAGAAUGCCAAACGUCCAUCAAAAUGAAAACUCGUAAGGGGAUUUGAUGUUGACAUCAACACUAACACCAGCAGAGGAGAAGCAUGAGGAGGAGGAAGAUGAGGAGGGAAGAAGGAGAAACACGAUGGAUGCCUGCACAGACUUUCUGCUUGGUCACAAAAAAUACUAUUUGUAAAAAACAAAAACUGUCUCAGUAACAUAAAGGCAUCACAGGACUGAGGACGCCUUCCACACGCAGUAUACCUUGACGUGUGAAAGCCAACCUGGAUGAAGGCUAACGCUCCAGUGGUUAGUUUGUGAAGUAAAAUUAAAACAACUAUAUGUUUUGAAGAUUUGUCAAAUAUAUAUGUAUUCUGUGGCCAGACCAGUUGAGAACCACAAAGGCAAAAGGACAAUUUACAGACUACACAAUCACAUUUACUGACAACUUUCACAUCCACAGUCUACUCUUGAUUUCUAGAUGAAACUACAGCCUGUUAACAUGACAUUUUGACUGAACAAUAUUUUUGGAAAGAAGUAAAAACAUUUAAUUUGAAAUUAGUGAGUAACAAUGCCCACACUGAAGAGUGUUGUGGUUUGCACAACUUGAUUUGGAAAAAAAGAAGAAGAAAAAAAUCAGGUAUCGGGAGUUUGCAGCUGGCGAGUAACGGGUCUGUAAUUCAUCAAUUAUCAUAUAAUAAACUUCAUACUACCCAUCA